Molecule: ribosomal RNA, 468 nt
Filed under: uncultured bacterium
Lineage: Bacteria
Description: partial 16S ribosomal RNA
Rfam family: Bacterial small subunit ribosomal RNA
Source: RNAcentral
GACGAACGCUGGCGGCGUGCUUAACACAUGCAAGUCGAACGGAAAGGCCCUGCUUUUGUGGGGUGCUCGAGUGGCGAACGGGUGAGUAACACGUGAGUAACCUGCCCUUGACUUUGGGAUAACUUCAGGAAACUGGGGCUAAUACCGGAUAGGAGCUCCUGCUGCAUGGUGGGGUUUGGAAAGUUUCGGCGGAUGGGGAUGGACUCGCGGCUUAUCAGCUUGUUGGUGGGGUAGUGGCUUACCAAGGCUUUGACGGGUAGCCGGCCUGAGAGGGUGACCGGCCACAUUGGGACUGAGAUACGGCCCAGACUCCUACGGUAGGCAGCAGUGGGGAAUAUUGCACAAUGGGCGGAAGCCUGAUGCAGCAACGCCGCGUGCGGGAUGACGGCCUUCGGGUUGUAAACCGCUUUCGCCUGUGACGAAGCGUGAGUGACGGUAAUGGGUAAAGAAGCACCGGCUAACUACGUG